RNAcentral lists this ribosomal RNA (347 nucleotides) under Elgaria kingii. RNAcentral's name for it is "partial 12S ribosomal RNA". It matches the Rfam family "Bacterial small subunit ribosomal RNA", at positions 875 to 1363 of the family's 1533-position model. The record is from RNAcentral. Lineage: Eukaryota; Metazoa; Chordata; Lepidosauria; Squamata; Anguidae.
GUCCUAACCCCAACAAACUUAUCCGCCAGAGAACUACAAGCGAAAAACUUAAAACUCAAAGGAUUUGGCGGUGCUCCACCCAACCUAGAGGAGCCUGUCCUAUAAUCGAUAAUACCCGAUCAACCCAACCGCCUCUUGCCCCCCAGCCUAUAUACCGCCGUCGCCAGCUUAUCCCAUGAGAGCCCAAAAAUAAGCACAAUAGUCAAACCACUAAAACGUCAGGCCAAGGUGUAGCUAAUGAGACGGCAGCGAUGGGCUACACUAUCUACAAAAGAUAAAACGAAUGGUACCAUGAAGCAACUGCCGGAAGGCGGAUUUAGCAGUAAACUAAGCAAGAACACUUAUUU